Molecule: ribosomal RNA, 303 nt
Filed under: uncultured bacterium
Lineage: Bacteria
Description: partial 16S ribosomal RNA
Rfam family: Bacterial small subunit ribosomal RNA
Source: RNAcentral
AGCAGUCGCCACGGGAAUACGAGGGGGGCAAGCGUUGUUCGGAUUUAUUGGGCGUAAAGGGUGCGUAGGCGGUUUGGCAAGUCUUGUGUGAAAUCUUCGGGCUCAACCCGAAGCCUGCACGAGAAACUACCGGGCUUGAGUAUUGGAGAGGUGAGUGGAAUUUCCGGUGUAGCGGUGAAAUGCGUAGAUAUCGGAAGGAACACCUGUGGCGAAAGCGGCUCACUGGACAAUAACUGACGCUGAUGCACGAAAGCUAGGGGAGCAAACAGGAUUAGAUACCCGCGUAGUCCCUGUCUCUUAUAC